AUAAGAUAGCUUGCUAUUUUUAUGAGAGCGGCGAACGGGUGAGUAACGCGUGGGAAAUCUGCCGAGUAGCGGGGGACAACGUUUGGAAACGAACGCUAAUACCGCAUAACAAUGAGAAUCGCAUGAUUCUUAUUUAAAAGAAGCAAUUGCUUCACUACUUGAUGAUCCCGCGUUGUAUUAGCUAGUUGGUAGUGUAAAGGACUACCAAGGCGAUGAUACAUAGCCGACCUGAGAGGGUGAUCGGCCACACUGGGACUGAGACACGGCCCAGACUCCUACGGGAGGCAGCAGUAGGGAAUCUUCGGCAAUGGGGGCAACCCUGACCGAGCAACGCCGCGUGAGUGAAGAAGGUUUUCGGAUCGUAAAACUCUGUUGUUAGAGAAGAACGUUAAGUAGAGUGGAAAAUUACUUAAGUGACGGUAUCUAACCAGAAAGGGACGGCUAACUACGUGCCAGCAGCCGCGGUAAUACGUAGGUCCCAAGCGUUGUCCGGAUUUAUUGGAGCGUAAAGCGAGCGCAGGUGGUUUCUUAAGUCUGAUGUAAAAGGCAGUGGCUCAACCAUUGUGUGCAUUGGAAACUGGGAGACUUGAGUGCAGGAGAGGAGAGUGGAAUUCCAU
Molecule: ribosomal RNA, 617 nt
Filed under: Lactococcus garvieae
Lineage: Bacteria; Bacillati; Bacillota; Bacilli; Lactobacillales; Streptococcaceae
Description: bacterial SSU rRNA
Rfam family: Bacterial small subunit ribosomal RNA
Source: RNAcentral